GGAAGUAAAAGUCGUAACUAGGUCUCCGUUGGUGAACCAGCGGAGGGAUCAUUACAGGACUCGCAAGACUCCUACAACCCUGUGAACUUAACUAUAAGCACGUUGCUUCGGCGGGUGUCUCGGAGGGGGUUCUCCCUCCCCGAGACGCUAAACCCGCCGGCAGCCUACUAUACUCUGUCUCUUUGCGUUGGCAUCUCGAGUACAAUCAAACAAGUUAAAACUUUCAACAACGGAUCUCUUGGUUCUG
RNAcentral lists this unclassified non-coding RNA (247 nucleotides) under plant metagenome. Its description in RNAcentral is "partial contains small subunit ribosomal RNA, internal transcribed spacer 1, and 5.8S ribosomal RNA". The stretch from base 1 to 54 matches the Rfam family "Eukaryotic small subunit ribosomal RNA", at positions 1778 to 1831 of the family's 1831-position model. The record is from RNAcentral.